This 73-nucleotide transfer RNA is filed under the name Burkholderia sp. Its description in RNAcentral is "tRNA-Ala". It matches the Rfam family "tRNA". From Rfam's summary of the family: Transfer RNA (tRNA) molecules are approximately 80 nucleotides in length. Their secondary structure includes four short double-helical elements and three loops (D, anti-codon, and T loops). The record is from RNAcentral. Lineage: Bacteria; Pseudomonadati; Pseudomonadota; Betaproteobacteria; Burkholderiales; Burkholderiaceae.
GGGGCGGUAGCUCAACUGGGAGAGCAUCGCGUUCGCAAUGCGAAGGUCUAGAGUUCGAUACUCCUCCGCUCUA